This 320-nucleotide ribosomal RNA is filed under the name uncultured eukaryote. RNAcentral's name for it is "partial 18S ribosomal RNA". It matches the Rfam family "Eukaryotic small subunit ribosomal RNA", at positions 1470 to 1796 of the family's 1831-position model. The record is from RNAcentral.
CCCUUAGAUGUUCUGGGCUGCACGCGCGCUACAAUGGCGUUUUCAAAAAGAUUGCUAAUCCGAAAGGACCAGCGGAUCUUCGAAGUGGCGUUGUGAUCGGGACAGUUGAUUGCAAUUAUUCGACUCGAACGAGGAAUUCCUUGUAAUCGUGCGUCAUCAGCGCACGCUGAAUACGUCCCUGUUCUUUGUACACACCGCCCGUCGCUCCUACCGAUCGAGCGAUCCAAUGAAUGUUUCGGAGCGGAACUGAGAUGCUAAUGCGUCUCUUUUACGCGAAUUUGUGUGAAUUUGAUCGCUUAGAGGAAGGAGAAGUCGUAACA